Molecule: long non-coding RNA, 133 nt
Organism: Thalassophryne amazonica
Lineage: Eukaryota; Metazoa; Chordata; Actinopteri; Batrachoidiformes; Batrachoididae
Exons: 3
Source: RefSeq, a predicted model, not a curated record
CCUGUGGAAUCAUUCAGUGACCCUUGUAGGACAUUAGAGGUCAGCUCCAGGAUGCCUCCACACCUGAAAAUAAACUUUAGCUCAUUUAGAAUAUGUGUGCAAAAUUUCAUGCUUUCAUCACAAAAAUGCACAA